ACCCAGCUGACGAGUCCGGAAUGGGACGAAAUGCACGUUCCGGAU
RNAcentral lists this non-coding RNA (45 nucleotides) under Schistosoma haematobium. The record is from RNAcentral. Lineage: Eukaryota; Metazoa; Platyhelminthes; Trematoda; Strigeidida; Schistosomatidae.